UAAAAUGAUACAGCUCUCCAUAACUGCAAUCUCUUUCUUUGUAUAUGAGUUUUUAAUUUCUUGUAACUGACCUUGACACAGAGUCAUUUGUCUGCAACCAUAUUUGAAAUCUAGACGGUCUUGACUGGUGUGAAUCCAAGAUAAAGGGAUCUGAAUAUGUGAUGGAUAUUUUUGGCUUACCCCUGCUCUUUGCUGUCCUACAAGUCCAGCAGUGCUGGUGCUUGGGGGAAGGAGUUUCACCCACAAUCAAAGAGCUCAGAUACAUUCAUUGGUCCUUAAUGUCGUUCCUUCAAUAAUUUCGAAAAUCUAUCGGGCUAUUGUUACUCACCACCUGAAUGGUUCCUAUCUACUUUGCUU
RNAcentral lists this long non-coding RNA (357 nucleotides) under Callithrix jacchus (white-tufted-ear marmoset). Its description in RNAcentral is "lncRNA (ENSCJAG00000075408.1)". Lineage: Eukaryota; Metazoa; Chordata; Mammalia; Primates; Cebidae. The record is from RNAcentral.